GACGGACGGACGGAGAAGCCGCGAACUGGCCCCUCGCCUCGUUUUUCCCCCCGGGCCGCCGCUCUGCCUCGCCAACCAACCGCAGCUGUGAGAAACCUCUACGCACAAUGAUUGAAAGAUACACUAAUUGCCACAAUAGAAGAAUAGAUGGUAAAGGCGGUAAGAGUUGGCAAGAUGGCAAAAUUGACUGCUUUAAUUAAAAAGAAGAACUUAUCUUGUUUUGUUUUUGCUUGGAAACUUCUUCUGGACUUUGAGCAGAAAACUGAAAAAUAUGAAACUUUGAUUUUUGGUUUUGAUGACUAGAUUGACUUUGUCGCUAUACAAAUGGUUUGAAUUGAUAAGAAAUGCAAAGCAAAAGAUUGAGGCUGUAGCUUUUUUUUUUCCUACUCACCUGGGGGAAAAAACCUGGAAGUCACUACUUUUUUUCCCCCUUGUUUGCACCUCUCUUGUCUUUUCUGUGUUUUGUUUCUAUUUCUAUUUCUAUUUCAUCUCACAACAUACAUCAAUAAAAAUUUGAAACACAA
Pantherophis guttatus is the source of this 524-nucleotide long non-coding RNA. RefSeq lists it as uncharacterized. The record is from RefSeq and is a predicted model, not a curated record. NCBI's taxonomy places the organism in Eukaryota, Metazoa, Chordata, Lepidosauria, Squamata, Colubridae.